Molecule: long non-coding RNA, 898 nt
Filed under: Homo sapiens (human)
Lineage: Eukaryota; Metazoa; Chordata; Mammalia; Primates; Hominidae
Description: prostate cancer associated 3
Source: RNAcentral
AGGUGUGUACGGUGCCAGCGACUGCUUCAGAGAAUCUUCCUCCAAAGGAGGGUCACCACCAUACAGGAAGUGUUCAGGCUCUCUCAGUAAAUCUUCAUCGAUAUUCUGGCCCAUUACAUCAUAUUCAAAAUCACCCCACGAGGCUUCAGAUGAGCAGAUAUCUUGCUUCCCUAGGUCCCCAUCAACUGGCGUUUCCGGAUGGCCUUCGGAUAAUGUCAGUUUACUCAUGUCAUCUAUUGUUCCCGUGGAUGUGUUGAGACCUGAGGCAUCGCUGAAACUGUGGUCAAAGGCAGCUUCGCUUAUAUCCAGACAAGUGUCUGAGGCUAGCAAAGCAUCAGGAACCAAGGCAGGAUUCUCUGUGGAUAAAUGUGGAUCACCAUCAAACAAAGCUCUUGCACCAGGCUGACUUUCAGGAGAAAAGCUGUCUGAUAUCCAAGAACCGUCACCUUCUGGAGUUGGCUCUUGUUCUGGAAGACGGAAAGUCCAAGAUCAAGAUCCUGACAUACUCGCUGUCUGAUGAGCACCUGCCUCCUGAUUCAUAGGCUGCCAUCUUUUUGCUGUGUCCUCACGUGACAGAAAAGCCUUCUCCAUCUCCUACACACUCUGAAAUAAUCUGUCAGAAGAUCCUCAUCCUGCCGUGCUGGCUUACUCUGGAUCAAGAGACAAAGACUCCAGCUCUAUCUCUGAUGGACCGAGUAGGAAGAAUCAGCAUGAGUCAACCCACCAGGUUUCCCAGAGCUUAAUCCAGAAGGGACCCAAACACUAGGGCUGCUGGAGCUACCUUCACCAAUACAGGGGUAAUCAUAGUACCUUUUACUGGGAGGAUUAAGUGAGAUAAUGCUUACUCAACUGCCAGGUACACGGGGAAAUUUGAACACAGAGACAUGCAUAGAGGGAA